AUUGAGUGAUAGACGUAAAAAUAAUCAAUAUUAGACAAUGUAGAGGGGAAAAUUCCUAACCAUUGUGGAUGCCCUAACAUUGCUGAUAUUAUGGUCGAAGGUCAACAGGCUUGGAAAUUUGGAAUGCACAACUGCUUGGAAGUGAACUGUGUCCCGAGGAUAAAGUGUAAUUGUACAAAUACUGAACAUGAAAUUAAGCAACUUGUCUGUUAGUGAAGGCGCUUUGAAAAAGCAGGAAAGCUCUCAGUUAGAACUUAGAAGUGGCUACAACUCCACAAGCCCACAAGGUGAUUAUUGUCUUAUUGAUAUAGAUGUGUUUUAACUAUUUUUAAAUGUUCAAAGGGAGAAGAAAAGAGGCUGCUGCCAAUACAUUCAGAGUAUGUUGAAUAGGAAAAUAAAAAGAUUCAACAAUGCAGCUGCGUGUAGAGACAACAUUGAACAAAGCACAGAAUCAUGCAAAAUCACUAGCACGACAACAUUGAACAAAACACAAAAUCAUGCUAAAAUGUCGUGCAAAAUCAGUCAGGCUGCACCCCACAAAGGCUUAUCAGUGGUGAAGAUGCAAGGGGCACGGGGAAAAAUGCAGAUAGACUGAAGUGGUGUAUAGGAACAGGGGGGGACUGAGUGAGUAGAAAACAGAACUACUAUGCAGUGCCAUAAAAAUAUAAAAACCAAGCAGAAAUAAUAAUUGAGUUGGGGGCAGAUGAUGAAAAUGCCUAAUGAAAGCAAAGAUGCAGUGUGGAGUUGAGGGUCCACUUCCAUGUAAAAUACACGAUUUGAGCACUCAAAAGGACAAUCAUGCUUAACUUAACAGUUGAUCAUGGAUACAAUGAUGAGAGAGUAGAAGUCAACUCACAAUGAGGGUAGCUGAUCUUUAUCACUUGCACAAUACGGCAUCGGAUACCCAGCAUUCAGCAACUUUAGCAUGCAUUCUACAUUUUCAAUCAAUCAUGAUUACCAAUGAUAUCCAAAUAAAUUUCCUCACAUACAUGACAUGAGCCCACACUUCUCAUCUUCUAUAAUCAAGCAUUCAACAUCCAGGAUGCUCAUAGUUAAGAUGAAGACAAUGCAGCAGCUUCUCCAUCUGCUGUUCAUAUGGCUUCUAUUGGCAGCAAUCCCACGCCUUUACAGCCCUAUUUCAACUGCUAAAGCCAUAUAUACAGGCAAGCUACAUGUGCACUACAGUAUACCUCCACAUACCACAAUCAACAUUUUCUUGAGAGUGAGGGUUGGGAGGGUUUACUGCUUGUUCACUUGUUCGGUAUUCGUAUUUCUAAAAGUUCACUUUCUGAUAUUCUAUUGCAGUUAGUUCCCAGAGUAGCACCUUAAGCAACAACAUUAGGACAACAGACGUAAAUGUUCUUCCUACUUUGGGCAAAGAGAUGAUUCAUAAGAAACAAUCUGGACCAAACCCAAUUGGAAAUCAACAGCCACCAAGAAGGCCUUGAAUACACUAGCUUAUUUAAGAAUUUUAUUUUUAUUAGACAUGUCUUAGUUGGAAAAAUGUUAUGUUGGGUUCUGUAUCUGUAAAAUAUUACUCCGUAAUCACUAAAAACAUCAUAGUCAUGCUCAA
This is a long non-coding RNA of Ipomoea nil (Japanese morning glory), 1573 nucleotides long. RefSeq lists it as uncharacterized. The transcript has 2 exons. The record is from RefSeq and is a predicted model, not a curated record. Lineage: Eukaryota; Viridiplantae; Streptophyta; Magnoliopsida; Solanales; Convolvulaceae.